CCUACGGGAGGCAGCAGUGGGGAAUAUUGCGCAAUGGGCGAAAGCCUGACGCAGCGACGCCGCGUGAGGGAUGAAGGUCUUCGGAUCGUAAACCUCUGUCAGCAGGGAAGAACGGUCACUGUGCUAAUCAGCAGUGAAUUGCCGGUACCUGCAAAGGAGCCACCGGCUAACUCCGUGCCAGCAGCCGCGGUAAUACGGAGGGUGCGAGCGUUAAUCGGAAUUACUGGGCGUAAAGCGCUCGUAGGCGGUAUGUCAAGUCAAGGGUGAAAUCCCCGCGCUCAACGUGGGAACUGCCUUUGAAACUGGCAAACUGGAGUGUGGGAGAGGAUAGUGGAAUUCCAGGUGUAGGAGUGAAAUGCGUAGAUAUCUGGAGGAACAUCAGUGGCGAAGGCGACUAUCUGGCACAUAACUGACGCUGAGGAGCGAAAGCGUGGGUAGCAAACAGGAUUAGAUACCCUUGUAGUC
RNAcentral lists this ribosomal RNA (465 nucleotides) under uncultured bacterium. RNAcentral's name for it is "partial 16S ribosomal RNA". It matches the Rfam family "Bacterial small subunit ribosomal RNA", at positions 338 to 795 of the family's 1533-position model. The record is from RNAcentral.